Molecule: ribosomal RNA, 944 nt
Filed under: uncultured organism
Description: bacterial SSU rRNA
Rfam family: Bacterial small subunit ribosomal RNA
Source: RNAcentral
GCGAGCGGCGUGGUUAAGACAUGCAAGUCGAACGAUGAAGCCCAGCUUGCUGGGACGAUUAGUGGCAUACGGGUGCGUAACACGUGAGCAACCUGCCUUGAAGUGGGGGAUAGCCCGGGGAAACCCGGAUUAAUACCGCAUGUGGUCCUUUUCUACCUGGAAAAGUGACUAAAGUUUGUAAUGACGCUUCAAGAGGGGCUCGCGGCCUAUCAGCUUGUUGGUGAGGUAACGGCUCACCAAGGCUAAGACGGGUAGCUGGUCUGAGAGGAUGAUCAGCCACACUGGAACUGAGAUACGGUCCAGACACCUACGGGUGGCAGCAGUUUCGAAUCAUUCACAAUGGGGGAAACCCUGAUGGUGCAACGCCGCGUGGAGGAUGACGGCCUUCGGGUUGUAAACUCCUGUCACCAAGGAACAAACGGCAGGUUCAUAGCCUGUCCUGAGUUAACUUGGAGAGGAAGAGGUGGCUAACUCCGUGCCAGCAGCCGCGGUAAUACGGAGACCUCGAGCGUUACUCGGAUUCACUGGGCGUAAAGAGUAUGUAGGCGGUUUGGUAUGUCAGGUGUGAAAUCCCGGAGCUCAACUCCGGAACUGCGCCUGAAACUACCAAACUUGAGGCCUGGAGAGGAGAGUGGAAUUUCUGGUGUAGCGGUGAAAUGCGUAGAUAUCAGAAGGAACACCAAUGGCGAAGGCAGCUCUCUGGACAGGUUCUGACGCUGAGAUACGAAAGCGUGGGUAGCGAAAGGGAUUAGAUACCCCUGUAGUCCACGCCGUAAACUUUGUACACUAGGUUUCGGGGGGCCUACCCCCUCGGAGCUCAAGCUAACGCGUUAAGUGUACCGCCUGAGGACUACGGNCGCAAGGCUAAAACUCAAAGGAAUUGACGGGGGCCCGCACAAGCGGUGGAGCAUGUGGCUUAAUUCGAUGCAACGCGAAGAACCUUA